UACGAAGGGGGCUAGCGUUGCUCGGAAUCACUGGGCGUAAAGCGCACGUAGGCGGAUUGCUAAGUCAGGGGUGAAAUCCUGGAGCUCAACUCCAGAACUGCCUUUGAUACUGGCGACCUUGAGUCCGGGAGAGGUGAGUGGAACUGCGAGUGUAGAGGUGAAAUUCGUAGAUAUUCGCAAGAACACCAGUGGCGAAGGCGGCUCACUGGCCCGGUACUGACGCUGAGGUGCGAAAGCUAGGGUAGCAAACAGG
RNAcentral lists this ribosomal RNA (253 nucleotides) under uncultured bacterium. RNAcentral's name for it is "partial 16S ribosomal RNA". It matches the Rfam family "Bacterial small subunit ribosomal RNA", at positions 524 to 776 of the family's 1533-position model. The record is from RNAcentral.